Cajanus cajan (pigeon pea) is the source of this 960-nucleotide RNA transcript. It is a transcript of the gene named Chaperone DnaJ-domain superfamily protein, with no coding region annotated. The record is from RefSeq and is a predicted model, not a curated record. Lineage: Eukaryota; Viridiplantae; Streptophyta; Magnoliopsida; Fabales; Fabaceae.
GAAAAUGACGAAACAUGUUAUACAAUACUCGAAGGAAAAGGUUUUGGGUCGCGGGAACAAAACGUUUAUUAUAUGGGAUGUGCUUGAAGUUAUCGUGUUUGUCUCUGUAGUCUGUAAUCAAAUUCAAAACUUGAGGCUAACUCUUCACAAAUGGAUGCCCAUGAAGCCAGAAUCUUGCUCGGUUUUCCUCCCAAUUCACGUCCAACUCCUUCCCAGGUAAAAUCAGCUUACAAAAAGAAGGUGUGGGAAUCUCACCCUGACCUAUUUCCGUCUCAUGAAAAGCCUCUUGCUGAGUCUAAGUUUAAACUGAUUUCUGAAGCUUACACAUGCCUGCAAUCUGGUGGGAGAGAAACUUCAAGUUCAGUUGAAUAUUCACAUGUUGUGAGAACUGGAUUUCCAAGGGCUCAUGGAGGAAGAAAAAAUCAUACUAUGAUUAAAGUUCCAUUCAUGUUAAUCAUUCUGGGAACUGUUGCGCUUGGAGGACUUAAUGCUUCAAGGUGGCUUACAGGGCUUACAAAAAACAAAAGGCUGAUAACCCUUCACAUAAUCCAUUUCUUCCUUGAUUUCUCCUCCAUCAAGCGAGUAACUAAAUAUUUGUUGUAAUUGGUGGAAAAUAUUGUACCAUACAUAGAAAGCUGAAGUUGUGGACUCCUAGAGACGGAGAUUCUCGAACGCAAGCCGUGUGGAGCUAGCCGGAAGCCGAAUUCCUUCUCCAUUUCUUCUCCUUCUCCAUUGUCUUCUUCCCGGAGCUCGGAAAUCCUUGUGCCGAGAGCAGGGAUAGGAUGGUUGCUUACGGCAGGUCUGCAGCUGGCAGAUAGAGCUUGAUUCUUGUGGAUGUCUUGGUGUUUUAGCUACUAGGUGUAGUAGCGAUUGAUGUAUUUUGUACAUUUGAAUCUAGUCAGACUUGGGCCAUGUAUAUAUGUAUAUUCUAGACACUAUAUAUAUACACUUGUUCCUUUC